AUUGAACGCUGGCGGCAGGCUUAACACAUGCAAGUCGAGCGGGGGAAGGUAGCUUGCUACCGGACCUAGCGGCGGACGGGUGAGUAAUGCUUAGGAAUCUGCCUAUUAGUGGGGGACAACAUCUCGAAAGGGAUGCUAAUACCGCAUACGUCCUACGGGAGAAAGCAGGGGAUCUUAGGACCUUGCGCUAAUAGAUGAGCCGAAGUCGGAUUAGCUAGUUGGUGGGGUAAAGGCCUACCAAGGCGACGAUCUGUAGCGGGUCUGAGAGGAUGAUCCGCCACACUGGGACUGAGAUACGGCCCAGACUCCUACGGGAGGCAGCAGUGGGGAAUAUUGGACAAUGGGCGGAAGCCUUAUCCAGCCAUGCCGCGUGUGUGAAGAAGGCCUUAUGGUUGUAAAGCACUUUAAGCGAGGAGGAGGCUACUUUAGUUAAUACCUAGAGAUAGUGGACGUUACUCGCAGAAUAAGCACCGGCUAACUCUGUGCCAGCCGCCGCGGUAA
This 501-nucleotide ribosomal RNA is filed under the name uncultured bacterium. RNAcentral's name for it is "partial 16S ribosomal RNA". It matches the Rfam family "Bacterial small subunit ribosomal RNA", at positions 30 to 523 of the family's 1533-position model. The record is from RNAcentral.